CCAGAUUCUACACAGCAACUGGAGGACAGGGCCUCAGAUCAAGGAAGAAGUGGGAUUGGUUUGGAGGGAUCCUAUCUGGACUCAAGGAAAGUGACAAUACAAAUUAUGGGAUGGAUCUACAUCCUCGAGGUAUCCUUAUAAGAAGAAGCGUGAAACUUGGACACACUGAUAUACCCAAGGAUAAAGUUCACGUGAAGAUGGAGGCAGAGGCUGGAAUAUGUGGCUUCAAAGAACACUCCCGGCCAGCAAUCACCAGAAGCUGAGAAGAGCAAAGAAAGAUUCAUCCCUAGAACCUGGUGUUAUUUAUCUGCUCAUAAAUGCUGAUAGUCAAGAACAAAAUGAACGAGUCACAAGAUAUUGAAAACAAAAAUCCUUAGGAGCAGCUGAUCCUGGUGGGCCAGGAAGCUCAGAAUCAAAAUGGAUGCUCAGUUGGAACAUCCGCACUAGCCUGCCACAUUAGCACGUUUGCUACCACCUCUUUCUGCAGAUCCCAUUUGCAAUUUCUGGGUUUACACCAUCAGACUGAUUUUCUAUGUAAUCUUCGUUAUAAGCCUCUUCAGAUGUUUUUAAAAUGAAAUGAGGAAUACAUUAAUGAAUAAUCAAAU
This is a long non-coding RNA of Homo sapiens (human), 605 nucleotides long. RefSeq lists it as uncharacterized. NCBI's taxonomy places the organism in Eukaryota, Metazoa, Chordata, Mammalia, Primates, Hominidae. The transcript is spliced from 4 exons. The record is from RefSeq and is a predicted model, not a curated record.